RNAcentral lists this ribosomal RNA (2904 nucleotides) under Escherichia coli DEC13D. RNAcentral's name for it is "bacterial LSU rRNA". It matches the Rfam family "Bacterial large subunit ribosomal RNA". Lineage: Bacteria; Pseudomonadati; Pseudomonadota; Gammaproteobacteria; Enterobacterales; Enterobacteriaceae. The record is from RNAcentral.
UUAAGCGACUAAGCGUACACGGUGGAUGCCCUGGCAGUCAGAGGCGAUGAAGGACGUGCUAAUCUGCGAUAAGCGUCGGUAAGGUGAUAUGAACCGUUAUAACCGGCGAUUUCCGAAUGGGGAAACCCAGUGUGUUUCGACACACUAUCAUUAACUGAAUCCAUAGGUUAAUGAGGCGAACCGGGGGAACUGAAACAUCUAAGUACCCCGAGGAAAAGAAAUCAACCGAGAUUCCCCCAGUAGCGGCGAGCGAACGGGGAGCAGCCCAGAGCCUGAAUCAGUGUGUGUGUUAGUGGAAGCGUCUGGAAAGGCGCGCGAUACAGGGUGACAGCCCCGUACACAAAAAUGCACAUGCUGUGAGCUCGAUGAGUAGGGCGGGACACGUGGUAUCCUGUCUGAAUAUGGGGGGACCAUCCUCCAAGGCUAAAUACUCCUGACUGACCGAUAGUGAACCAGUACCGUGAGGGAAAGGCGAAAAGAACCCCGGCGAGGGGAGUGAAAAAGAACCUGAAACCGUGUACGUACAAGCAGUGGGAGCACAGAGCAAUCUGUGUGACUGCGUACCUUUUGUAUAAUGGGUCAGCGACUUAUAUUCUGUAGCAAGGUUAACCGAAUAGGGGAGCCGAAGGGAAACCGAGUCUUAACCGGGCGUUAAGUUGCAGGGUAUAGACCCGAAACCCGGUGAUCUAGCCAUGGGCAGGUUGAAGGUUGGGUAACACUAACUGGAGGACCGAACCGACUAAUGUUGAAAAAUUAGCGGAUGACUUGUGGCUGGGGGUGAAAGGCCAAUCAAACCGGGAGAUAGCUGGUUCUCCCCGAAAGCUAUUUAGGUAGCGCCUCGUGAAUUCAUCUCCGGGGGUAGAGCACUGUUUCGGCAAGGGGGUCAUCCCGACUUACCAACCCGAUGCAAACUGCGAAUACCGGAGAAUGUUAUCACGGGAGACACACGGCGGGUGCUAACGUCCGUCGUGAAGAGGGAAACAACCCAGACCGCCAGCUAAGGUCCCAAAGUCAUGGUUAAGUGGGAAACGAUGUGGGAAGGCCCAGACAGCCAGGAUGUUGGCUUAGAAGCAGCCAUCAUUUAAAGAAAGCGUAAUAGCUCACUGGUCGAGUCGGCCUGCGCGGAAGAUGUAACGGGGCUAAACCAUGCACCGAAGCUGCGGCAGCGACGCUUAUGCGUUGUUGGGUAGGGGAGCGUUCUGUAAGCCUGCGAAGGUGUGCUGUGAGGCAUGCUGGAGGUAUCAGAAGUGCGAAUGCUGACAUAAGUAACGAUAAAGCGGGUGAAAAGCCCGCUCGCCGGAAGACCAAGGGUUCCUGUCCAACGUUAAUCGGGGCAGGGUGAGUCGACCCCUAAGGCGAGGCCGAAAGGCGUAGUCGAUGGGAAACAGGUUAAUAUCCCUGUACUUGGUGUUACUGCAAGGGGGGACGGAGAAGGCUAUGUUUGGCCGGGCGACGGUUGCCCGGUUUAAGCGUGUAAGGCUGGUUUUCCAGGUCAAAUCCGGAAAAUCAAGGCUGAGGCGUGAUGACGAGGCACUACGGUGCUGAAGCAACAAAUGCCCUGCUUCCAGGAAAAGCCUCUAAGCAUCAGGUAACAUCAAAUCGUACCCCAAACCGACACAGGUGGUCAGGUAGAGAAUACCAAGGCGCUUGAGAGAACUCGGGUGAAGGAACUAGGCAAAAUGGUGCCGUAACUUCGGGAGAAGGCACGCUGAUAUGUAGGUGAAGUCCCUCGCGGAUGGAGCUGAAAUCAGUCGAAGAUACCAGCUGGCUGCAACUGUUUAUUAAAAACACAGCACUGUGCAAACACGAAAGUGGACGUAUACGGUGUGACGCCUGCCCGGUGCCGGAAGGUUAAUUGAUGGGGUUAGCGCAAGCGAAGCUCUUGAUCGAAGCCCCGGUAAACGGCGGCCGUAACUAUAACGGUCCUAAGGUAGCGAAAUUCCUUGUCGGGUAAGUUCCGACCUGCACGAAUGGCGUAAUGAUGGCCAGGCUGUCUCACCCGAGACUCAGUGAAAUUGAACUCGCUGUGAAGAUGCAGUGUACCCGCGGCAAGACGGAAAGACCCCGUGAACCUUUACUAUAGCUUGACACUGAACAUUGAGCCUUGAUGUGUAGGAUAGGUGGGAGGCUUUGAAGUGUGGACGCCAGUCUGCAUGGAGCCGACCUUGAAAUACCACCCUUUAAUGUUUGAUGUUCUAACGUGGACCCGUAAUCCGGGUUGCGGACAGUGUCUGGUGGGUAGUUUGACUGGGGCGGUCUCCUCCUAAAGAGUAACGGAGGAGCACGAAGGUUGGCUAAUCCUGGUCGGACAUCAGGAGGUUAGUGCAAUGGCAUAAGCCAGCUUGACUGCGAGCGUGACGGCGCGAGCAGGUGCGAAAGCAGGUCAUAGUGAUCCGGUGGUUCUGAAUGGAAGGGCCAUCGCUCAACGGAUAAAAGGUACUCCGGGGAUAACAGGCUGAUACCGCCCAAGAGUUCAUAUCGACGGCGGUGUUUGGCACCUCGAUGUCGGCUCAUCACAUCCUGGGGCUGAAGUAGGUCCCAAGGGUAUGGCUGUUCGCCAUUUAAAGUGGUACGCGAGCUGGGUUUAGAACGUCGUGAGACAGUUCGGUCCCUAUCUGCCGUGGGCGCUGGAGAACUGAGGGGGGCUGCUCCUAGUACGAGAGGACCGGAGUGGACGCAUCACUGGUGUUCGGGUUGUCAUGCCAAUGGCACUGCCCGGUAGCUAAAUGCGGAAGAGAUAAGUGCUGAAAGCAUCUAAGCACGAAACUUGCCCCGAGAUGAGUUCUCCCUGACUCCUUGAGAGUCCUGAAGGAACGUUGAAGACGACGACGUUGAUAGGCCGGGUGUGUAAGCGCAGCGAUGCGUUGAGCUAACCGGUACUAAUGAACCGUGAGGCUUAACCUU